GCCUAAGCGUCCGUAGCCUGAUCUAUAAGUUUCCGGUUAAAUCCACAUGCUCAACAUUUGGGCUGCCGGAAAAACUGUAGAUCUAGGGAGUGGGAGAGGUAGACGGUACUCGAUAGGAAGGGGUAAAAUCCUUUGAUCUAUUGAUGACCACCAGUGGCGAAGGCGGUCUACCAGAACACGUUCGACGGUGAGGGAUGAAAGCUGGGGGAGCAAACCGGAUUAGAUACCCGGGUAGUCCCAGCUGUAAACGAUGCAGACUCGGUGAUGCAUUGGCUUGUGGCCAGUGCAGUGCCGCAGGGAAGCCGUUAAGUUUGCCGCCUGGGAAGUACGUACGCAAGUAUGAAACUUAAAGGAAUUGGCGGGGGAGCACCACAAGGGGUGAAGCCUGCGGUUCAAUUGGAGUCAACGCCAGAAAUCUUACCCGGAGAGACAGCAGAAUGAAGGUCAAGCUGAAGACUUUACCAGACAAGCUGAGAGGUGGUGCAUGGCCGUCGCCAGCUCGUGCCGUGAGAUGUCCUGUUAAGUCAGGUAACGAGCGAGACCCUUGCCUCUAGUUGCCACCAUUGCUCUCUGGAGCAGUGGGGCGAAUUAGCGGGACCGCCGCAGUUAAUGCGGAGGAAGGAAAGGGCUACGGCAGGUCAGUAUGCCCCGAA
This 653-nucleotide ribosomal RNA is filed under the name uncultured archaeon. Its description in RNAcentral is "bacterial SSU rRNA". It matches the Rfam family "Archaeal small subunit ribosomal RNA", at positions 508 to 1160 of the family's 1478-position model. The record is from RNAcentral.